UACGUAGGGUGCAAGCGUUAAUCGGAAUUACUGGGCGUAAAGCGCGCGUAGGCGGUGAUGUAAGUCAGAUGUGAAAUCCCCGGGCUCAACCUGGGAACUGCAUUUGUGACUGCAUCGCUGGAGUGCGGGAGAGGGGGAUGGAAUUCCGCGUGUAGCAGUGAAAUGCGUAGAUAUGCGGAGGAACACCGAUGGCGAAGGCGAUCCCCUGGGCCUGCACUGACGCUCAUGCACGAAAGCGUGGGGAGCAAACAGG
This 253-nucleotide ribosomal RNA is filed under the name uncultured bacterium. RNAcentral describes it as "partial 16S ribosomal RNA". It matches the Rfam family "Bacterial small subunit ribosomal RNA", at positions 524 to 776 of the family's 1533-position model. The record is from RNAcentral.